RNAcentral lists this ribosomal RNA (483 nucleotides) under Dolichopus sp. NCSU-99071924. RNAcentral's name for it is "eukaryotic LSU rRNA". It matches the Rfam family "Eukaryotic large subunit ribosomal RNA", at positions 1918 to 2322 of the family's 3401-position model. Lineage: Eukaryota; Metazoa; Arthropoda; Insecta; Diptera; Dolichopodidae. The record is from RNAcentral.
CAAAUUAGAUCCGUAACUUCGGGAUAAGGAUUGGCUCUGAAGAUUGAGAUAAUCGGGCUUGAAUGGGAAACAAUAAAAUGGUGCAUAUGCUCGUUCUGGGUAAAUAGAACUUAUUAUGAAAUUUUUAAUUUUAUAAUUUGUUUGUUCCUCGGAUAGAAGUUAUAUAACCAGUUGUGGAACAUUCUUGCUAUUAAAUAUACUGAUAUGUAAAAUUUUUUAAAUUUUAUUAUAUCAUAUAUUUUUAUAACGGUUAUCAAUUAACAAUCAAUUCAGAACUGGCACGGACUUGGGGAAUCCGACUGUCUAAUUAAAACAAAGCAUUGUGAUGGCCCUAACGGGUGUUGACACAAUGUGAUUUCUGCCCAGUGCUAUGAAUGUCAAAGUGAAGAAAUUCAUUUAAGCGCUGGUUAACGGCGGGAGUAACUAUGACUCUCUUAAGGUAGCCAAAUGCCUCGUCAUCUAAUUAGUGACGCGCAUGAAUGG